UGGUGGAGUGAUUUGUCUGGUUAAUUCCGUUAACGAACGAGACCUCCGCGUGCUAAAUAGUUUCGCUUACAAUUUUUUGUAGGUUUGAGACUUCUUAGAGGGACUUUUGGGUAAUCAAACCAAAGGAAGUUGGAGGCAAUAACA
RNAcentral lists this ribosomal RNA (144 nucleotides) under uncultured eukaryote. Its description in RNAcentral is "partial 18S ribosomal RNA". It matches the Rfam family "Eukaryotic small subunit ribosomal RNA", at positions 1299 to 1458 of the family's 1831-position model. The record is from RNAcentral.